AGGAACAUUCCAUAGAAGGGAAGAGAUCUCUGCCAGGCUCUGCAGAAAUGGGACACAGAUGGUGCCUUAAAUGAGAGCGGAAGUUUAUUUGGGGGCCCUGUUCGUGACGUCGCGCUGCAGAUCCCGCAGCAGAUGACAGACACCAGCAUCUCAGAGAGGAGCCCACGGAAGGAUCUGGAGUUCUCCAUGGAGCCUGGCUAAUCUCUGCACACCAAUCUGUCUCUCUCCACCCAGGGAAUGGGAGCCAAGCAGAUUCAUGCAGCGAGAUGGGACAGGUUUGCCCAACCCACCAACUUAUCCUGCAAAUAAUUCGCUCCCAGGGCGAUCUCCCAUCUUUCCCCAGCUCCAAAUUCACGUCUUCCCAAAAUACUUCUGUGAAAUGCACGGUGCGAUUUUCAGCCACCGUUUGAGGCAGAACAGGGCCUGAACACACAUUUUGGGCUGGCAAAAAGUAGCUGUAAAGUCCUUACGUAGAAGAAAAAGAGGCUUUAACACCUGGAUGCAGCAAAAUUCUCCCAUCAUUUGUGAUCCCAAGUCAAAAUACCCACACAAAGGAUGAGAAGCAGCGGAGUCUGCAGAUGGUGGAAUUUGAGGAAUGCCUCUCAACUCCUCCUUCCCUAUGUAAGAUCUUCUCCAGAGCAGACUGUCCCACUCCUACUCCUGGAUUCCAAGAGAGUUUAGUCCUUAUUAUUCCACUUGCUAAUGGAAAACAGUGAAAUGGAUUUUUUUUUUCAUCACAGAAAAAAACAAGAGUUCUCCAAAUGUAAACAUUGAGAUAAAUCACACUCGUUUCAGUGACAUUUUCCAAUUUCUUAUGAAAAACAUUCCAACCAGCAAUUUAAUGAAGAUUUUUGCAGCUUGUUUUGACUUUUUAAAAGAGAUGAACAUUUUCACUUCUCUUUGAGAGGCUGAAUUUCUCGCUUUUUAACUUCAUGUUUCCUGUCUUUUUGCUGUGAAGAUUCAAGAGAAGAGAAGAGGAGUGAAAGUGAUUUUCGUGACACUUUGCCAAUGCUACUUCUUUCAUUUCCAUUCAUUUUUCAAGGGAAAGGACAAGGGUUAAUUUAAAAAUUAAGACAAAAUUAAUGCCGUAAUUCGAAUUAAGUAUUUUUUUCUCUCUGAAAAACCUGAAUUUCAGAUGCUUCAAAGCAAGUCUUUCUCUGUUUGCUUUCCCUUCCUGAAAUCCAAAGGAAACUAAUGUUAAACUAUUAAUUAUCAUCUGACAUGUGUUUUUGCUGUCUUAUAUUCCAUUUCUUCCUGUUCUUGUGUUCUUCCUUAAUAAAUUAUAAAGCCAACA
Long non-coding RNA from Chiroxiphia lanceolata (lance-tailed manakin), 1294 nucleotides. RefSeq lists it as uncharacterized. Lineage: Eukaryota; Metazoa; Chordata; Aves; Passeriformes; Pipridae. The transcript has 4 exons. The record is from RefSeq and is a predicted model, not a curated record.